Dioscorea cayenensis subsp. rotundata (Guinea yam) is the source of this 372-nucleotide long non-coding RNA. RefSeq lists it as uncharacterized. Lineage: Eukaryota; Viridiplantae; Streptophyta; Magnoliopsida; Dioscoreales; Dioscoreaceae. The record is from RefSeq and is a predicted model, not a curated record. The transcript is spliced from 4 exons.
UAAAGCUUUUUCACCGCCAUCAAUUGCUCCUCUCUCUCUCUCUCUCUCUCUCUCUCUCUCUCUCUCUCGGCCGCCAUUGGAGGAGCUACGAGGAGGAAGAGAAGCGACAGUGAAAGGGGGGAUCGAGGGCGGAUGCGAUCGGUGGGUUUGAAUCUUCUUUUUAUAUAUCUCUCUGUUGCCAUUGGAGGAGCUGGAAGGAAGAGGAACAUUGGUGACGAUUAGUAGAGCUCGUAGGAGGAAGGGAAGCAUCAGCGUGAACUGGCAGAUUAGAGGUGGUACGAUCGGAGGCUGUCAGUUGGAUGCUUGCAUUAUAGCAUUUUGGAGCUUUUCUCUCUUCAGGCUUCAAUUUCACAAUAGAUUUCUCCAUUAUGG